RNAcentral lists this ribosomal RNA (155 nucleotides) under fungal sp. RNAcentral describes it as "partial large subunit ribosomal RNA". It matches the Rfam family "Eukaryotic large subunit ribosomal RNA", at positions 1719 to 1874 of the family's 3401-position model. The record is from RNAcentral. Lineage: Eukaryota; Fungi.
CCUGAAAUCGGUUUAUCCGGAGCUAGGGUUUAAUGGCCGGAAGAGCCCAGCACCUCUGCUGGGUUCGGUGCGCUCUCGACGUCCCUUGAAAAUCCGCGGGAAGGAAUAAUUCUCACGUCAGGUCGUACUCAUAACCGCAGCAGGUCUCCAAGGUG